GGCUGAGAGCUCGGGCGGGGCGAGCGAGGGGCGGGCGUGGCAAGGGGCAGGUCGGAGAUGGGUCAGCUUUGGUCUGUGCUCCAGGGGCGCAGUCCUGUGGUUGUCUUAUAGGCGUUUCACCCGAAAACAUCCAUUACAAAUUAAAAAAAAUGCUACCAAGCACAGAGAAAGAAAAACCAAAAAAAGGGGAUAAAGAGCAUCACAAGAAAUAACCCCGCGCGGGACGCGCCUCUCCGGAGCAGCCCCGAUGCAGGUGGGCGGCUGUUGGCCCGGCCCGUAACGCAUGGCGCUGAGAGAAACGUGUCCUCUCCGGGUCGCCUCUUCCCCCGCCUCGGAAAACGGUGUCAGCGAAGCGCCCAGCAGAAGCAGGGCUGGGCAAAGGCCGUUUAAAAGCCACCGGUUCUGGGGAGGAAUCGGAUCUGGGCUCUGGCGAGCUGAUACGGGUGCAGUUAGGGAGCCAACGCUCGCAUGGCUGUUCUUAACCAAACACAUGUGAGAGUUACGUUACAGCACUUAACAUUUUCAGUCGAAGGUUUUGUUUUAUGCUUCCGCAGCUUUCCGUAUGCUAAGAAGCAAAUUUAGAGGCAGCCUUACUGCUGAUUUUAUCUUGAAGGAUUAAACCAGAUUCACUCUUCCUGCAGGA
Dromaius novaehollandiae (emu) is the source of this 643-nucleotide long non-coding RNA. RefSeq lists it as uncharacterized. NCBI's taxonomy places the organism in Eukaryota, Metazoa, Chordata, Aves, Casuariiformes, Dromaiidae. The transcript is spliced from 2 exons. The record is from RefSeq and is a predicted model, not a curated record.